ACAUCCCAGGACGGCAGAAUAAUGCGGAGGUUUUCUACUAUAGAUUAAAACCAACCAACAGGGAAUUUUCCGAGUCUGGCAGCCACAGCUUUCUCUUCAGACAUCUUUUCCUCCAGCCAUGCGGACAGGGGAAGGUAGAUGCUUGCCAUCUACCAAGUAUGGUGAGAGUUUGAAAAGAGGCAGACAUAAGGAAGAGUCAAGGAAGAAAAAUGCCUCAGAAAUCCAAGAGGGGGUCGUGCUUUGGCUUUUGCUCCUUCAGCAGACUCACAGAAAAUUCUGGGAGGCCCAGGACAGAGGAAAUCAAAGGCAUACUUGGAAGGAGAUUGAGAAUAUUCUGGAAUGCAUUCUCUGGGGCCGGGGCCAGCUCCCCAUGAAAAGCCUUCAUAAGUCCCUCCUCCUCUUCCCCAGCUCCUCUGAAAGAAAGAAAGAAAGGAAGGAAGGAAGAAGGAAGGAAGGAAGAAGGAAGGAAGGAAGGAAGGAAGGAAGGAAGAAGGAAGGAAGAAAGAAAGAAAGAAAGAAAGAAAGAAAGAAAGAAAGAAAGAAAGAAAGAAAGAAAGAAAGAAAGAAAGAAAGAAAAAUGGUGAGAAGCGCAAUAAAAUCAGUAGGUGACAUUGCUAUUAAUCCCAGGACUCUCGCACAUAGAACAAUUUAA
RNAcentral lists this long non-coding RNA (652 nucleotides) under Felis catus (domestic cat). RNAcentral describes it as "lncRNA (ENSFCAG00000051773.1)". Lineage: Eukaryota; Metazoa; Chordata; Mammalia; Carnivora; Felidae. The record is from RNAcentral.